CCGAGUUUACAACUCCCAAACCCCUGUGAACAUACCUUUAUGUUGCCUCGGCGGAUCAGCCCGCGCCCCGUAAAACGGGACGGCCCGCCGCAGGAAACCCUAAACUCUGUUUUUAGUGGAACUUCUGAGUAUAAAAAAACAAAUAAAUCAA
Molecule: unclassified non-coding RNA, 151 nt
Filed under: soil metagenome
Description: partial internal transcribed spacer 1
Source: RNAcentral